UAAUAUGCACGACUUCAACUAUUUAAAGACCACUCAUUUACCUCCUAGAUAAUAUAUUAGCUCCCUGAACUCGUCCCUAAGUGAUUCCAAGUGAAAAGAGGGUGAAACAGCCAAAGAGAAUUAGAAGCAAGAAGCUGGAAUUUCUGAACAGCUUUGUUACUCCACAGUUUUGAGGUUUGUUUCUAUUAUUUCUUAAGGGGUUUAUGAUUUCUUGAACAUCUGAAGUUGUUUGUGAUUAAUUUGGAGUGUUGUUAAUGAUGUUAUGAUGCCUAAAUAGGGGUAAUUAAUGGCAAGAAUUUGAAAGAAAUUAAUCUGGACAGAGAUGAGGAAUUGCUGGAUUGAGUGAUUUAUACCUUGAUUUUGGGAUGAUACUUAGUGUUUAACUUAUAUAUAUCAAUAUGAACGUUUUUAUAUGUAAGUAGGGAGUGUCAGAUUCUGUCCAUUUGGGUAUUUAAUGUGAUUUCAACAUUUAGAUGUCCCCUAAUGAACUCUUGGGCCUAGAAAAUAUAUCCUAAGGAAUACUAGGUUGUUGAAAACAAUUGGAUGACGUUGACGUUCAUAAUUGGACUCGAGAGAUAGCGAGACUUAUUGGAUUAGUUUGUAAUGCCAUCGGUAACUUGAAAUGAUGAUUCCGUCUAAAUUAUUUUGGUGAGAAUGGACGUAUUUUGGGAUUUUGUGCGUUAAGGUUAUUAAAUUGAGGAUUCUCUUUAAUAUUAAAUGGUAAUACAGGUGAUUUUUUGACUUCGAGUCAAAAAGGAUAUUGAUCUAAUCUUCAUAGGAACUUGCACACACAAAGAUGAAAGGUAAGUGAAAAUCCAUUUGCAACUACAAUGCAAGAACCUAGUAUAUGUGACAUAGUAAUGUUGAAAUAUCUACAUAACUUUGAUAAGAGGCUUAUAACACAUAAUAUGGUGGUUACUAUCAUUGAGUAUGAGAUUGCGUAACCUAUUGACAUCGAUUUUCAUUUAUGAGCAUUUUCAUAUGCAUGCACGACAUGUAACAUGAUUGAAAAUACUGCAUGCAAAAUAUGAUUUCAAAGUGAGUUUCAUUAUAAAUGUUUUAUUGACCACUACUAGGGCACCGAGGCAUGUGAGGCAUGCUUAUGUGAUAUGUUUAGCAUUGCGGGUGUUACUUCCUGGGUGAUUGCAAAGGUAGAUAGGGGAUGGGCCUUUAGUGAUCACGGGAGGGCGGACCACUCGACUAUGCCCUUGUUAUGAUUAUUGGCGCUGCCAGGUGGGAGACUUCUUGGGUGAUCAUAGGGGCAGUCAGGGGAUGGGCCUUUAGUGGUCACGAAAGGAUGGUCCACUUGUCGGUGUCGAUUUCAUACUGGCCAUUUGAUUAUUGAUAUUGAUAUUAUGCAGAGUUCUAUCCGGUGCAUAGUAGGUGGGUAAAGGGCCCAAUGAAAUGAAAGAUUUCAAGUGAAAUGAUUUCUAGUCGACUUUGACGAACAUUGAAAUAUGAUAUUUUUAUCGUGAUAUUUAAAGUAAAUGGUAUGGUGUCAUAUGUUGUUAUUACUCAUGUUCAGGGCAUGCAUGAUUUUGCAUACUAAGCAUUAGCUUAUGUAGUUCUUGCAUUGUAGGUGAACAUGGAACUACAUAGAGAGCAUGGCUAGCUGUGGAGCUCCUACAGGAUUCCAGAGUUCGAUGUACAUGGAUGACGACCUGUAGGGUUAUUUUGUAGGCUGCCAUCUGUAGGGUUAUAUUUUGGAAUCCUAUAUAGUGUACUUUUGAAAUGGCCUAUAGACAUGUUUAUAAGCUCAGAAUAUAUAUGUUGGAU
Molecule: long non-coding RNA, 1776 nt
Filed under: Olea europaea (common olive)
Lineage: Eukaryota; Viridiplantae; Streptophyta; Magnoliopsida; Lamiales; Oleaceae
Description: long non-coding RNA (OEUR_LNC003858)
Source: RNAcentral